RNAcentral lists this ribosomal RNA (468 nucleotides) under uncultured bacterium. Its description in RNAcentral is "partial 16S ribosomal RNA". It matches the Rfam family "Bacterial small subunit ribosomal RNA", at positions 28 to 507 of the family's 1533-position model. The record is from RNAcentral.
GACGAACGCUGGCGGCGUGCUUAACACAUGCAAGUCGAACGGAAAGGCCCUGCUUUUGUGGGGUGCUCGAGUGGCGAACGGGUGAGUAACACGUGAGUAACCUGCCCUUGACUUUGGGAUAACUUCAGGAAACUGGGGCUAAUACCGGAUAGGAGCUCCUGCUGCAUGGUGGGGGUUGGAAAGUUUCGGCGGUUGGGGAUGGACUCGCGGCUGAUCAGCUUGUUGGUGGGGUAGUGGCUUACCAAGGCUUUGACGGGUAGCCGGCCUGAGAGGGUGACCGGCCACAUUGGGACUGAGAGACGGCCCAGACUCCUACGGGAGGCAGCAGUGGGGAAUAUUGCACAAUGGGCGGAAGUCUGAUGCAGCAACGCCGCGUUCGGGAUGACGGCCUUCGGGUUGUAAACCGCUUUCGCCUGUGACGAAGCGUGAGUGACGGUAAUGGGUAAAGAAGCACCGGCUAACUACGUG